UACGUAGGCAGCAAGCGUUGUUCGGAAUUACUGGGCGUAAAGAGUGUGUAGGCGGUGCUCCAAGUCUGGUGUGAAAUCUCCCGGCUUAACUGGGAGGGCGCAUUAGAAACUGGAAUGCUAGAGGAUGGGAGAGGUAAGCGGAAUUCCUGGUGUAGCGGUGAAAUGCGUAGAUAUCAGGAGGAGCACCUGUGGUGUAGACAGCUUACUGGACCAUUUCUGACGCUGAGACACGAAAGCGUGGGUAGCAAACAGG
This 253-nucleotide ribosomal RNA is filed under the name uncultured bacterium. RNAcentral's name for it is "partial 16S ribosomal RNA". It matches the Rfam family "Bacterial small subunit ribosomal RNA", at positions 524 to 776 of the family's 1533-position model. The record is from RNAcentral.